RNAcentral lists this ribosomal RNA (1729 nucleotides) under Ochyrocera sp. 513 FL-2019. RNAcentral's name for it is "SSU rRNA". It matches the Rfam family "Eukaryotic small subunit ribosomal RNA". Lineage: Eukaryota; Metazoa; Arthropoda; Arachnida; Araneae; Ochyroceratidae. The record is from RNAcentral.
GAUUAAGCCAUGCAUGUCUAAGUGCAUGCCGCAUCAAGGCGAAACCGCGAAUGGCUCAUUAAAUCAGUUAUGGUUCCUUAGAUCGUACCUCACCACUUGGACAACCGUGGUAAUUCCAGAGCUAAUACAUGCAGCAGAGCUCCGACCCUCCGGGGGACGAGCGCUUUUAUUAGACCAAGACCGACCGGGCCUCCCGGCCCGCCGUUCGUGGCGACUCUGUAUAACUUUGGGCCGAUCGCACGGGCUCGUCCCGGCGACGCAUCUUUCAAGUGUCUGCCUUAUCAACUGUCGACGGUAGGUUACGCGCCUACCGUGGUCGUAACGGGUAACGGGGAAUCAGGGUUCGAUUCCGGAGAGGGAGCCUGAGAAACGGCUACCACAUCCAAGGAAGGCAGCAGGCGCGCAAAUUACCCACUCCCGGCACGGGGAGGUAGUGACGAAAAAUAACGAUACGGGACUCAUUCGAGACCCCGUAAUCGGAAUGAGCGCGAUCCAAACCCUCGGGCGAGGACCUACUGGAGGGCAAGUCUAGUGCCAGCAGCCGCGGUAACUCUAGUUCCAGUAGCGUAUAUUAAAGUUGUUGCGGUUAAAAAGCUCGUAGUUGGAUCUCAGUCGCGGACGGGCGGUCCGCCUAACGGCGGCAGCCGCCCGGCCCGGACAGCCCGCCGGUUUCCCCCGAUGAUCUUCGCCGAUUGUCCCGGGUGACCGGCACGUUUACUUUGAAAAAAUUAGAGUGCUCAGGGCAGGCGUUCGUUGCCUGGAUAGUGGUGCAUGGAAUAAUGGAACAGGACCUCGGUCUUAUUCUGUUGGUCUCCGAGACGCGAGGUAAUGAUUGAGAGGGACGGACGGGGGCAUCCGUACCGCGACGCUAGAGGUGAAAUUCUUGGACCGUCGCGAGACGAACCGCUGCGAAAGCAUUUGCCAAGCACGUUCCCGUUAAUCAAGAACGAAAGUCAGAGGUUCGAAGGCGAUCAGAUACCGCCCUAGUUCUGACCAUAAACGAUGCCGACCGGCGAUCCGCCUGGGUUCCUCAAAUGACUCGGCGGGCAGCUUCCGGGAAACCAAAGUCUUUGGGUUCCGGGGGAAGUAUGGUUGCAAAGCUGAAACUUAAAGGAAUUGGCGGAAGGGCACCACCAGGAGUGGGGCUUGCGGCUUAAUUUGACUCAACACGGGGAAGCCUUCCCGGUCCGGACACCGGAAGGAUUGACAGAUUGAGAGCUCUUUCUUGAUUCGGUGGAAGGUGGUGCAUGGCCGUUCUUAGUUGGUGGAGCGAUUUGUCUGGUCAAUUCCGAUAACGAGCGAGACUCCAGCCUGCUAAAUAGGCGUCCCGGUCCCGUGAGCCGGGCGCUCUUCUUAGAGGGACAAGCGGCGUCCAGCCGCGCGAGACGGAGCAAUAACAGGUCUGUAAUGCCCUCAGAUGUCCGGGGCCGCACGCGUGCCACACUGAAGGAACCAGCGUGUGCUGGCCCUGUCCGCCAGGACCGGGUAACCCGCUGAACCUUCUUCGUGAUGGGGACCGACGUUUGGAAAGCGUCGCGAACGAGGAAUUCCUAGUAGGCGCGAGUCAUCAUCUCGCGUCGAUUACGUCCCUGGCCUUUGCACACACCGCCCGUCGUUACUUGCGAUUGAACGACCCAGUGAGAUCAUCGGAGCGGCGCGCGGAGCGGCUCUUCCGGGCCGCGCCGCCGUGCCGCGAAGACGACCGAACUGUAUCGUUUAGAGGAAGUAA